GAUAAUAUUGUUUAGUGUAGAAACACUGGCUUCAGAGUCAGAAGACCUGAGUUCAAAUCUUGGUUUUGCUA
Molecule: transfer RNA, 71 nt
Filed under: Monodelphis domestica (gray short-tailed opossum)
Lineage: Eukaryota; Metazoa; Chordata; Mammalia; Didelphimorphia; Didelphidae
Rfam family: tRNA
About the family: Transfer RNA (tRNA) molecules are approximately 80 nucleotides in length. Their secondary structure includes four short double-helical elements and three loops (D, anti-codon, and T loops).
Source: Rfam by way of RNAcentral